CCACAUGUUCUCACUCAUAAGUGGGAGUUGAACAAUGAGAACACAUGGACACAGAGAGGGGAACAUCACACACUAGAACCUGUCGGGGGAUGAGGGGCAAGGUACUGCAAAGCAAAGGCUCUACAUUUCGCAUGCACAUGGAUCAAAACUCGGUUUAUCAAAUUUCCACACUUGAAUGUACCAUCUGCUUUCAGAGAGACAGUGUUAGAAAGAAGGAGGAGGACAAGGAGGAGGAGAAAAAGGAAAAGAAGGAAAAGGAGAAGAAGGAAAAGAAGGAGAAGAGAGGGAAAAAGAAGAAGGUGAAAGAAUGAUUCUACUGGGAAUAAAAUGAAGGAUCCAGCCAAAUUUAAAGUGGUUAAAUACUGUAUUGAUACUGGUGCAGUUAUUUUAAACCAUCUUGUUUUCAAGAUAUUGUAGAAAGGGCUUAUUAAUCAAACAAUAAAUGCAUCUUUGCACUUUUCUCUUUUUCUCCUCUUUCCUGUUAUGUCUUACAGUUCACUAAGAUGGAAACAACAACAUCCAAUGAUUUCACGUUAGACAUUUGUGUAAAAGCAGGAUAUUUUCUUCCUUCAUGUUCAGUCGCUCUUGCAUUCCCUCUCUUCAUAUUGUUGCAUAUAAUUUGAUCUUUCCUUUUGUCGUAUUUCCUUUCAAAGACAUUUUCAAAUGUCUUUGAUCAUUAUAGGAUCAAAGACAUGGUUUUGCAUUUGAGAUGAUAUUUCUCUACAUUUUCUUUGUGAUCAUCUCACUUUGGAUUUCUCUUAAUCAGUCUGGCCUGCCAUAACAAAAUACCAGAGAAGACUUGUUGGUUUAAUCCAGAGAAAUUUAUUUUCUUGCAGUUCUAUGGAAUUUCGCAGUUCUAGAAGUCCAAGAUCAGGGUGCUGGCAGGGUUGGUUGGCAUAUGCUGAGACCGUCUUGGCUUGUAAUAGGCUGCCUUCUUGCUGUCCUUUCCUCUGUGUGCACAUGGAAAGCCUCAUCUCUGGUGGCUCUUCCUCUUCUUAUAUGGACAGCAGUCUUAUUGAAUAAGAGCUCCCUGCCUUAUCAUCUAUUUAACCUUGAUUACCUCUUUUCAGGUCUCAUCUAGGAAUAUAGUCACAUUGGAGGUUAAAAUUUCAACAUAUGAAUUCAGGGGGAAUGCAGUUCAGUCCAGGCUAGUAUAAAAAAAUUUUAAAAGAUGUGUAAGGCAGUAGAAGAAUUUCCUAUGGGUCAUUGUUAUUAUUAUCUCUGAUUUGAAAACCAAGUGACAAUAAAGCAAAACUAUAUUUAACAGUGAAUUAAAAAAAUAUAUAUUUUG
Cebus imitator (Panamanian white-faced capuchin) is the source of this 1291-nucleotide long non-coding RNA. RefSeq lists it as uncharacterized. The transcript is spliced from 2 exons. Lineage: Eukaryota; Metazoa; Chordata; Mammalia; Primates; Cebidae. The record is from RefSeq and is a predicted model, not a curated record.